AUUGAACGCUGGCGGCAGGCUUAACACAUGCAAGUCGAGCGGAGAUGAGGUGCUUGCACCUUAUCUUAGCGGCGGACGGGUGAGUAAUGCUUAGGAAUCUGCCUAUUAGUGGGGGACAACAUUCCGAAAGGAAUGCUAAUACCGCAUACGUCCUACGGGAGAAAGCAGGGGAUCUUCGGACCUUGCGCUAAUAGAUGAGCCUAAGUCGGAUUAGCUAGUUGGUGGGGUAAAGGCCUACCAAGGCGACGAUCUGUAGCGGGUCUGAGAGGAUGAUCCGCCACACUGGGACUGAGACACGGCCCAGACUCCUACGGGAGGCAGCAGUGGGGAAUAUUGGACAAUGGGGGGAACCCUGAUCCAGCCAUGCCGCGUGUGUGAAGAAGGCCUUAUGGUUGUAAAGCACUUUAAGCGAGGAGGAGGCUACUGAGACUAAUACUCUUGGAUAGUGGACGUUACUCGCAGAAUAAGCACCGGCUAACUCUGUGCCAGCAGCCGCGGUAAUACAGAGGGUGCGAGCGUUAAUCGGAUUUACUGGGCGUAAAGUGUGCGUAGGCGGCUUUUUAAGUCGGAUGUGGAAUCCC
Molecule: ribosomal RNA, 581 nt
Filed under: uncultured Gammaproteobacteria bacterium
Lineage: Bacteria; Pseudomonadati; Pseudomonadota; Gammaproteobacteria
Description: bacterial SSU rRNA
Rfam family: Bacterial small subunit ribosomal RNA
Source: RNAcentral